UUCUCGCCGGAGCUUGGGGAAGGAAGUCGCUCCGCGGAGGUCUGAGGGAAGAGCUCGCGCCAGGUAGACGCCGCGCCGUCAUCAUGGGCAAGGGUGACCCCAACAAGCCGCGGGGCAAAAUGUCCUUGUACGCCUUCUUCGUGCAGACCUGCCGGGAGGAGCACAAGAAGCAUCCCGACUCGUCGGUCAACUUCACCGAGUUCUCCAAGAAAUGCUCGGAGAGAUGGAAGACCAUGUCUGCAAAGGAAAAGUCGAAGUUUGAAGAUUUGGCCAAGAGCGACAAAGCUCGUUAUGACAGGGAGAUGAAGAACUAUGUGCCUCCCAAAGGUGAUAAGAAAGGAAAGAAAAAAGAUCCAAAUGCUCCGAAGAGACCACCGUCUGCCUUCUUCCUGUUUUGCUCUGAACAUCGCCCAAAGAUCAAAAGUGAACAUCCUGGCCUGUCUAUUGGAGAUACUGCAAAGAAACUGGGCGAGAUGUGGUCUGAGCAAUCUGCCAAAGAUAAACAACCGUAUGAGCAGAAAGCAGCUAAACUAAAGGAGAAGUAUGAAAAGGAUAUUGCUGCAUACUGUGCCAAGGGCAAAAGUGAAGUAGGAAAGAAGGGUCCUGGUAGGCCAAUAGGCUCAAAGAAGAAGAAUGAACCAGAAGAUGAGGAAGAAGAAGAGGAGGAAGAAGAUGAUGAAGAUGAGGAGGAGGAAGAUGAGGAUGAAGAAUAAGUGGCUGUCCUAAAGUGUGGAGUAUAUGUGCUCAGGCAAUUAUUUUGCUAAGAAUGUGAAAUUCAAGUGCAGCUCAACAUUAGCUUCAGUAUAAAAACUGUACAGAUUUUUGUAUAGCUGAUGAGAUUCUUUGUAGAGAAAAUACUUUUUAAAAAGAGUUUGUAGCUUUUUCAGGGGCUACAACGUACAGUUAGAUUUAAAGCUUUUGAUGUUGAAUGUUUCUAAAUAUUUAAUGGUUUCUUUAAUUUCUUAUGGUAGCAAAAAAAACUUCAUAGGAAUUUGUAUUACCAGUAAAAAGAAUUUUUUUUAGGAUGUUGCAUUUUUUUUGUUUUCUUUUUUUAAAUUUGUAAUAAAAUAAUGUAUAUUAA
Molecule: RNA transcript, 1081 nt
Organism: Mastomys coucha (southern multimammate mouse)
Lineage: Eukaryota; Metazoa; Chordata; Mammalia; Rodentia; Muridae
Gene name: high mobility group protein B2 pseudogene
Exons: 1
Source: RefSeq, a predicted model, not a curated record